This 72-nucleotide transfer RNA is filed under the name Diaphorina citri (Asian citrus psyllid). It matches the Rfam family "tRNA". Rfam says of the family: Transfer RNA (tRNA) molecules are approximately 80 nucleotides in length. Lineage: Eukaryota; Metazoa; Arthropoda; Insecta; Hemiptera; Psyllidae. The record is from Rfam by way of RNAcentral.
GCCUCGGUGGUGUAGUGGUCAAGACGCUCGUCGGGAAAUCGAGAGAGCGUUGGUUCAAUCCCAUCCGAGGUA